This 570-nucleotide ribosomal RNA is filed under the name uncultured bacterium. RNAcentral describes it as "partial 16S ribosomal RNA". It matches the Rfam family "Bacterial small subunit ribosomal RNA", at positions 355 to 918 of the family's 1533-position model. The record is from RNAcentral.
UGGGGAAUUUUGGACAAUGGGCGAAAGCCUGAUCCAGCAAUGCCGCGUGUGUGAAGAAGGCCUUCGGGUUGUAAAGCACUUUUUGUCCGGAAAGAAAUCCUUGGCUCUAAUACAGUCGGGGGAUGACGGUACCGGAAGAAUAAGCACCGGCUAACUACGUGCCAGCAGCCGCGGUAAUACGUAGGGUGCAAGCGUUAAUCGGAAUUACUGGGCGUAAAGCGUGCGCAGGCGGUUUGCUAAGACCGAUGUGAAAUCCCCGGGCUAACCUGGGAACUGCAUUGGUGACUGGCAGGCUAGAGUAUGGCAGAGGGGGGUAGAAUUCCACGUGUAGCAGUGAAAUGCGUAGAGAUGUGGAGGAAUACCGAUGGCGAAGGCAGCCCCCUGGGCCAAUACUGACGCUCAUGCACGAAAGCGUGGGGAGCAAACAGGAUUAGAUACCCUGGUAGUCCACGCCCUAAACGAUGUCAACUAGUUGUUGGGGAUUCAUUUCCUUAGUAACGUAGCUAACGCGUGAAGUUGACCGCCUGGGGAGUACGGUCGCAAGAUUAAAACUCAAAUGAAUUGACGGGG